GUAUCCCUACGGGGGGCAGCAGUAGGGAAUUUUCGGCAAUGGGGGGAACCCUGACCGAGCAACGCCGCGUGAAGGAAGAAGGAAUUCGUUCUGUAAACUUCUGUUAUAAAGGAAGAAAGACGGAUGGAGGAGAUGACAUCCGAGUGACGGUACUUUAUGAGAAAGCCACGGCUAACUACGUGCCAGCAGCCGCGGUAAUACGUAGGUGGCAAGCGUUAUCCGGAAUUAUUGGGCGUAAAGAGGGAGCAGGCGGCAGCAAAGGACUGGGGGGAAAGACUGAAGCUUACCUUCAGUAAGC
RNAcentral lists this ribosomal RNA (298 nucleotides) under uncultured bacterium. Its description in RNAcentral is "partial 16S ribosomal RNA". It matches the Rfam family "Bacterial small subunit ribosomal RNA", at positions 333 to 623 of the family's 1533-position model. The record is from RNAcentral.